GAGAGGUGGCACCAAUUUUUGGGCAGGUAUUUGAGGCAAGCUGAAAACUUGUCACAUACCUCUCCUAUUAUAUUCCAACACGGAAUUGCAGACCUGGCUGUUCUUUGACACCUAAUAGAAACGGAUGGACACUUAAUGAGGAUACGCUAGAUUUUCACUGGUUUGACUGAGAGUGUAUGCCGCAAUUAGUAUUCGACGCUGUUGUUCACGAGGAAAAUAAAAAUAACGAUGAUGAAAAUCAUACUACAGAUGAUGAAGAGGUUGCCGAAUCUGAUACAGAUGAAUCCGAAGAUUCAAGUAGUUCUGAUGAAGAUUCUGAUCCACAGACGAAAAAUGAUAAUUUAUAUCUGACGUGAAACGAAUUUAAUUUAUUUCUAAUUUUUUUAUACAUAAAUAAUUGAAACACUGAAGAAAUA
Long non-coding RNA from Pieris napi, 416 nucleotides. RefSeq lists it as uncharacterized. NCBI's taxonomy places the organism in Eukaryota, Metazoa, Arthropoda, Insecta, Lepidoptera, Pieridae. The transcript is spliced from 3 exons. The record is from RefSeq and is a predicted model, not a curated record.